GACGAACGCUGGCGGCGUGCUUAACACAUGCAAGUCGAACGGAAAGGCCCUGCUUUUGUGGGGUGCUCGAGUGGCGAACGGGUGAGUAACACGUGAGUAACCUGCCCUUGACUUUGGGAUAACUUCAGGAAACUGGGGCUAAUACCGGAUAGGAGCUCCUGCUGCAUGGUGGGGGUUGGAAAGUUUCGGCGGUUGGGGAUGGACUCGCGGCUUAUCAGCUUGUUGGUGGGGUAGUGGCUUACCAAGGCUUUGACGGGUAGCCGGCCUGAGAGGGUGACCGGCCACAUUGGGACUGAGAUACGGCCCAGACUCCUACGGGAGGCAACAGUGGGGAAUAUUGCACAAUGGGCGGAAGCCUGAUGCAGCAACGCCGCGUGCGGGAUGACGGCCUUCGGGUUGUGAACCGCUUUCGCCUGUGACGAAGCGUGAGUGACGGUAAUGGGUGAAGAAGCACCGGCUAACUACGUG
RNAcentral lists this ribosomal RNA (468 nucleotides) under uncultured bacterium. RNAcentral's name for it is "partial 16S ribosomal RNA". It matches the Rfam family "Bacterial small subunit ribosomal RNA", at positions 28 to 507 of the family's 1533-position model. The record is from RNAcentral.